This is a long non-coding RNA of Poecile atricapillus (Black-capped chickadee), 5093 nucleotides long. RefSeq lists it as uncharacterized. The record is from RefSeq and is a predicted model, not a curated record. The transcript is spliced from 2 exons. NCBI's taxonomy places the organism in Eukaryota, Metazoa, Chordata, Aves, Passeriformes, Paridae.
AGAGAGACAAAACUGAGUUAUUGUCUGUGCAGGAAAUUCAGGAAUAAAAGUGAAACAAGGUCAUCCAUGCUCGGCAUCAAAGCUUUGUGUUGCAGGAUUGCUGCUCCUGGCGUUGCUCUGCGGAGCCUCACACCACAGGGAUCAGCUCCUGCCCUCUGACACCCUGGACUUUGAGCACCAGCACUUGUGAAGGCUCUGCUUCAGCAGGAUGAGGCCGUGGAGAAACCACCAGAGCAGGGCUGAUGCUCCCAGCAGGGUCCUGCCUUCCUCUCUCAAAGCUGGGAUGUUCCACUUUUUUUCACUUUUAAUUUCUCCAGUAUUAAUGAGGAGACACCACAACUUAGUUCUUCCUGGUUUAUAUCUACCCUUGCAAGCAGUGCCAUAGCCAGUCCCCACCAGGAACGCAAAGAUGCCGUGAUAAAUCCUCCUGAUUUCAAAAUUCUGGCACUGCCACCCCCAGAGCCAGCAGAGCCUGCAGGGCCAACACAUUACAGGGUGGGAAAGGCACGAGAUAUUAAUUAAAUAUAUUUAUUUAUGCAUUAUAUAUUAAUAUGUUAUAUAUUAAUAUUUAUCUAUUAAUUAAAUAUAAUAUAGAUAUUAUUAAUUAAAGCCAUGAUAUAUUAAUCUUAGAUGGGCUACUAAAUACCAGAAUAAUAACAAGAAUAUUAAGCAGCUUAUGCCAUAAGGCUGGAAGCAGAUGACAAAAAUUAGAGUGGCCCAAAUCUCAUUUACUGUGUAUCGUUAAAAUAAUACAUUUCUAUGCUGCAUUUUAGACUCGACAUCUAUUAAAGCUAAAUAGUGAUGGUGUGAUGACAGGUCUGAAAGCAGUUCAGAAAUAUCUGAUCUUGCUACUUCACAGGUAGAAGCUGCUAUUUUUAAAUGGUUCUGUAUAACAUAUAGAUAUACACAUACACACAUAUAUGAAAGAAAUACAUCACAGCUUAUAUUAUUUUUAUGGUUGAAGUGAACCGCUCGAAAUUAAUUUAGUUGACAAGUUACCACACAGUUCUGUGGAGGUGUUGUGGCUUCUGCAGGAUUUAAUUUCUCCCCUUGCCAUUUUUAAAUCAAAGGUAGUUGUGGUGUAUUUAAUUAUUCUUCCUGGCAGCUUAUACACUCCAAAAUCCAGCUCCUGUGCUAAGGAAAGGAAAGGGGUAAAGCUUGACAUUGAUUUAUCUGCUUAGGGAGGUUACUGAAUCUUCAGUCAGAGAAAACAGGUCUGUGUUUUACUGUGAUUCUGUUUAUAAUGGUUAUAAAAACAUCUCAGAGACAAAAAUAAGGCUCACAUGAAGGUAAGAGGCUUCAAAGUCCUCACAAGGAACGAGGUAGAAGUUGCAGUUCCCCACCCUAAGCUGUCACAUUUACUAAACUGCCUCCCAUGCCCUAAAAAGAUGCAAUCUUAUCAAUCAAAAAUUGGUGCAGCCGUACAAAUAUUCUUUACAUCACCCCACAGUGAUAUUCCAGCCAUUCUCCCUGAUGUGGAGGAGUCCUUGUGUUUCCUGGAGAGGCAGGCGAGGAGUUAAACAGCAGCUGCUGGAACAUUUGCAUGUUCAUUGAGGUUUUGAUACCACUUGAAAUUAAGUGCACAAAUAAAUAUUUUACACUUACUAUGAUAGUUGUACACUUAAAAUACCAAUUAUUCUACUAUAAGAAAGCGAUGGCGUGUUCAAAUAGUCGCAUGUCCUUUACAAAAUACAAUGUAUUGAUAAGAAGGCAAUUAAGUCUUUAUUACUGAUGUAAUUUAAAAUUAAAUUAAUUAGAUAGCAACUGAACCUUGAAAAGUGCUCCUUUAAAGAUCAAUUUCUAUUUCAUUAACUUAUAAUACCUACCGUAAGAGACGCAAAUGAAAGCGCUGCCCCGGUGGGACAGAGAACGUGGGCAUGGAAAAGUGCUUUGGAAUUUCGCUUUAAAUAACCAGGAAUUCUGUGUUGAUUCCUGCCAGGACAGUUCAGACGUCCUAAGUCUCAUUUUUUUAAGUAAUCAGAUCAAAACCUUCCAGUUCUUACUGAGGAGGGUGUGGGAAGUCCCAGGUGUGAGUGGAACCACGCCCAACAUCUAGAGGAGGUCAGGAAUGGGAAUUGGUCCCUCCUCGGGGCUCAGCAGAAGCUCCAGGUCUUGGCAUGGAAGGAAUUAUUAUUAAACAGGUACUGGAGGUGAUGGCAUGGCCAUGGCAUCUAAAUUAAGAAUGUUUUCACACUCUGGGAAAAUGACAAGAAUAAGUAAAGCCAGCAGCCUUCUUCCCUGGAAUAAUUACAGCUGAGUGAUGAAGAAUCCCUGGGAUUUACACCACGUCCUCAGUGGGAAGAGAAAAUCAGAAGGGCAGGUGCAGCUCGGGAAGGGCAGCUCACCGAAAUCUGCUCAGCCAGAAAUGCCUGUUUGGAGCAAUCACAAGUGUACCUGAGCCUGCCUAAAAUCUGUCACACUUACAGCCAUCAGCAGCCUCUUCAUCAUGAGAAAAUCAGGAUGUUUCACUCCCCUGUUACCAAAGUGUUUGGCAUUUUUGUUUUAAAAUGCUGUUGAAUUUGGGAUUUUUCAUCUGUUGAACAUGUUUUACAUUACCCCCUCCUUUCUGGGGCUUUUAGUGUUGGACACAGCAGAAAAUCAUCUUUGUUUCCUGUCAGCUUUGGGUCUAGAGACGUAGAUUCCUUCCUGCUUUGAGCAGAAAAAUGAAAAACUGAAAAAAUGUAGUUUUCUGUCCUAAACAUGACACUGGCAUUGGCACCCACACACAAGACACAGGGUGUGUGUUGGGCUUGGGGAAGUAAAGACCUCAUCAAACCUCAUCCCCAUGCUCCUCUCAGCAUUCCUGUACUUCCUUCACAGGAAAAUUACUCGAGUGAUCCCUUUCCUUGCCUCCUUCUCCCUUUUGCCAUUAGGAUGGUACUGGGAAAAAUUAACUGUGAAACUCCAUCUCCAGGCAGAUGAGGUCAACGGCAUCUUCUGGGGUGGGGCUAAUUGCCAGAAAAUUGCAGUGAGGUAUUAAAUCUGUCUCCUUUGUGAGCUGCAGAUCCAGGAGCCUGGAGCUCCAUCCCCCUCUCCCAGCGGAGCUGUGUCUUCCGUGUGGGCAAAUUGAAGUAGAGCUUUUCCUUUCUCUCACUUUAUUUCCUUGUGACACCUUUAUAGCUGCUAAUUGUGGGGACAGGUGAGUGAACUCAAUCUUUAACUCUUAUUCUGGGGAAGCUACUGAACUUUUGUGUAAUCUGCUAAUUAGGAGAAUAAUGAACUUUGACUCGUUCUCCUCUCUCACUCGUUGCCUCUUAAGGAUGUUAAUAACGAUGAAAUGGAGGGGUGACCUCCAGCUGCCCUUCCAUAACUGUCAGCCUUCACUGCACGUGGGGAGCCUGAGACUGCCAAAGUGGAGCUGCUCCAUUUGGGAAGCAGAAUAUGAGCAAAAAAUCCAGCGCUUUAGCUCACAGGAUUGGGAAACUGGGCCUUUUUUCCAUGCUGUUGGGUCAUGCUGAUGAACAGGUUGGUCCUGCCAUGGGCAGGGAUGUGACCCAUCACCCCAUGUUGCUCCAAGCUCCAUCCAACCUGGCCUGGAACACUUCCAGGGAUGGGGCAUCCACAGCCUCUUUGGGCAACAGUGCCAGUGCUGCACUUCUAAGUUUAGUCUCUAAAAUACCCAAAGGAAAAGAAAACCGAGGAGCACAAGGUAAGGAAAAAUGAAAGACCACAAGCAAAGUUGUCUCAGAGCUUCCAGAAGCUGCAGCAGAGAGCCCAUCCAGACCUCUUGGUGACAUUGUAGUGACAAUUAACCAGCCUCUGACUACUGAAACAAAGGGACAAUCAGGCAUCAGGCAGGAUCUGCCACCGCUUGGAAGUGCUGAAGCUCAUUCCGAGAUGGCAAGGGCUGGGAGGAAAGCAGCACACUGGCUCCUGGCUCACGUAUUCCAGGUGCUUUUGGGAGAGCUGGCAGGGAAAACUGCUCAGCUGAGGCUGUGGAUGUGCAAAGGCAGCACCAGCAAAUGUCAGAUGGGCUCCGGCUCUUUCCAGAGUCACCCACUGGAGGAAAUCCAGAGAAAUGGAUCCAAUGCUUUGGAAGGGCUCUCUGAAACACCUCCCAGAGUGGUCCAUUGGUUACGGGAGCUGGCACAGGCAGAUUUGCCCUCUGGAAUGUUCAGUAAAUAAAAAGCAUCUCUGAGGGAAAUCCAAAGGGAUCCAUAACAAUCCUCACCCUUUGAGGCUGGAUUUCCCCAGCAACAGAUGGACACACAACCCUCCUCAAGACCCGCACCAGUCUGGAUGUCCAUAAACGUCUGGGAAUGCAUUUCCAGUCUUUUGGCAGAAAAAGUGGUGUCAUUUAACAAUGAAUAACCACAACUUCUCCCAAAAGCAGGGAGUUGGUGGGCAGAACAAAGCUGCUGGUGAAGGGCUCCCUGUGAGGCCGGGACAUCCCGUGGUUCUGGUGCUCCAUCUCCCACUCCGACUGCCAGACCACAUUCCCACUCUGCAGACUGCCAGCUUUUUCACACUUCCUCAAGGAGAGAUCCUUUCUGCAAGGGAGGUUAAUUAAAACUGACCUGCAGGCCAUGAUUAGAAGACAAGAGGCGCUUUCUCCUGCAUCAUCCCUGCACAUCCCGCUAUCCGAAGGAAAGGGGUGGCUGGGGACUUGAGGCUGUGUUAAAUCCAUUGUUCCUACUGCUCAGUGCAAUUAUGCAAAAUAUUUUUAGAAGGGAUAACGACAAAAUAACCAUGGAGGGAUGCAACCCAAAUCCAUCCAGAAGCCAGGGCCAAGCAGGAUCCAGAGGUCUGAGAUCAGGAUAAGCCCUGCUGAAUAAAAGCAUCAGUUGAAACACUAAGGAAACUUUGCUGAAAAACACAUUGAUUCCUUCUGCUAUCAUUUGAAUGGAAAAUAUAGUAGGAAGUGUCUUCCAGCUGAACUCGUUCCCUCGAAUGACUGUUAAUAACAAUGAUUGCUGUUCAGAUUGAAGCUGCAUUAAUACAAACUUCAAUUUUAACAGCAGCAUCUUUGUCUAAUGCCAAGAGGUUUAUGUGAUGCAUAAUCAGCUCUUCUAAAAAGUGUCACAUUCGAAGUCUCAGCCUUUUAAUCAAGGAGUAGUCAAAUAAAGUGGAAAAACAAUGAGAAAAAAAAAAAA